GGAUCGCUUGAGCUGGGAGUUGGAAUCUUCAGUGAGCUGUGAUUCCACUACUGCACUCUCGUCCGGGCAACAAAGCACUCUCUGGCGGAGGCAGGCUGGGGGUUGGGGUAAUAAUGUAGGGAAGGAGGAAAUGAUUAGUAUCUGCAGUACAGAGGACUUUUUAUUCCCCCAGGUGUCUAUUAAAAUAGAUCUGGAUAAUGGUGAUGAAUCAUAUUUAAUUCAAUCAACUUUUUUUUUUAAUAAACUAAACACAGUGCUGACAAUACUUGGGAACCUGAAGAAAAUUUAGAUUGUCCAGAAUUGAUUGAAGCAUUUCUUAACUCUCAGAAAGCUGGCAAAGAAAAAGAUGGUACAAAAAGAAAAUCUUUAUCUGACAGUGAAUCUGAUGACAGCAAAUCAAAGAAGAAAAGAGAUGCUGCUGACAAACCAAGAGGAUUUGCCAGAGGUCUUGAUCCCGAAAGAAUAAUUGGUGCCACAGACAGCAGUGGAGAAUUGAUGUUUCUCAUGAAAUGGAAAGAUUCAGAUGAGGCAGACUUGGUGCUGGCAAAAGAGGCAAAUAUGAAGUGUCCUCAAAUUGUAAUUGCUUUUUAUGAAGAGAGACUAACUUGGCAUUCUUGUCCAGAAGAUGAAGCUCAAUAAUUGUUCACAUUGUUUUUUUAUAUAUAUUUAUAUAUAUAUAUAAAAUUUGGGUCUUGGAUUUUGAUUUACUAGUGUGACAAAAUAACUACAUCCUAAUGAAAAUCAAGUUUGAUAUGUUUGUUUUGAAAGUAGCGUUGGAAGAGUUGUUGGGGGUUUUUUUGCAUCCAUAGCACUGGUUACUUUGAACAAAUAAAUAAAAGCUUUCUGUAGUUGCUU
This 855-nucleotide small RNA is filed under the name Pongo abelii (Sumatran orangutan). Its description in RNAcentral is "retained intron". Lineage: Eukaryota; Metazoa; Chordata; Mammalia; Primates; Hominidae. The record is from RNAcentral.